RNAcentral lists this long non-coding RNA (249 nucleotides) under Phasianus colchicus (ring-necked pheasant). RNAcentral describes it as "lncRNA (ENSPCLG00000015758.1)". The record is from RNAcentral. Lineage: Eukaryota; Metazoa; Chordata; Aves; Galliformes; Phasianidae.
AUGAAGUUAAUGAGCGAAAUCAUAGUUAUGAUGAUAAUUAUUUAUCCAAUGAAUUACGUUGUUCUGAUGCGACUGAAGCCAUCUGCCAGGUUUUCAACCUCAAAAAUCUUUUUUUUUUUUUCCCCGGAACAGAGAGAAGGAAAGAGACUGAAAUAUCACCAUAGCCAGGCAUGGAAGAAGAAUUGCUCAAACUGCAGAAAAGCCUGCAUUAUGUUACCUCCAACAGAAACACCUCACUUCUGGCAAUGA